This 253-nucleotide ribosomal RNA is filed under the name uncultured bacterium. Its description in RNAcentral is "partial 16S ribosomal RNA". It matches the Rfam family "Bacterial small subunit ribosomal RNA", at positions 524 to 776 of the family's 1533-position model. The record is from RNAcentral.
UACGGAGGGGGCUAGCGUUGUUCGGAAUUACUGGGCGUAAAGCGCACGUAGGCGGCUUUGUAAGUUAGAGGUGAAAGCCCGGAGCUCAACUCCGGAAUUGCCUUUAAGACUGCAUCGCUCGAAUCAUGGAGAGGUGAGUGGAAUUCCGAGUGUAGAGGUGAAAUUCGUAGAUAUUCGCAAGAACACCAGUGGCGAAGGCGGCUCACUGGCCCGGUACUGACGCUGAGGUGCGAAAGCGUGGGGAGCAAACAGG